GUGUCCCCGCGCGCGAGAUUGACCAAAAAUUCACCCAUCUGUAGCUGCUCCCCGAACCCCUACCCACACCGCUGCCGCCACCGCUGCCGACGUAAUCGCACGGCCGCUCCCCGACCCACACCUCGCACAAUGUGCGCCCCGCCGCCGCCGCCUCCCCUCUAGAUCCUCAAUGCACCGCUAGGUCCCGUCCACAGCCGCUCACUGCCGCCACCUCUAACGCGCCUAGGACCAUCGCCACCUCCACAUCUAGCUUCUGGAGUCGAGAUCCAUGGUCGACUCCACUGGAGGAGCCCGGAUCUGGCCUACCGGGCACGGUCUCGAGCUUUAGGCAUCUCAGCAGGCAGCGGUGUACUCCGUCAUCGCCCAAUGGAGCAACCAACCAAGCAAGAACUCUAUCCAUGCUCGUGUCGAGGCGUUGUCUCUACUCUCUACUCCAUCCCGCGUCUGCGCGUCGUCCUCUACGGAUCCGUCCACCGCUGCGCCAGCACGAUGUGAAUCGAGACACGCCUCCGCCUAUGCGUCCAAGACACGCCUCUGCAUCUGCGUCCGUGCACUGGCUACGCGGCAUCGAUUACGGAGUGGAGGAACAUAGUUUGAUUGAUAUUUUGUUUGAUUAUGGAUAGUCUACCUACUCGCAAUUCUCUACAUAUGAGGACUUGAGGAUUUAGAGCAAGACCUAAAGUAAGUUACUCUGAGGUAUAUACAUUUUGGUCCCCUCCGAUCUGCUUCACCUUCAUCCUUAAUUACAUCCCAAACAUUUAUAAGUCUGAUGUUGCUUAUUAGAGUCUUUUUAAAAAAAUUGAAAACACAAGAGAGUUGCAUGUCCUAUUAAAAAGAGGAUGGUCAUAUUGUGGAACUGUUAUUUUGAAACGGAGUGGUCUUAUUGUCUGAACCUGCUAUUUUGAGCUCUGAAAUAUAUGUGAUUGACUAUAGAAUUAUUUCAAGAACAAACUGUUAUUGGCAUUUGUUCUUGCGAGUGUCCAGCAGUAGCAUGCUUGUCACUCUGGUUUGGAAAUAUUGAAAAUUUCAUCUUUGACCGACUAAUAAAGAGUAGAACAAAAUAUAUUUGCAUUUCCCCUAGUCAAUGAACCAGUUCAAUUUACACCAAACAAUUUCUAUACAAAGGUAUACCCUUGAAGGGACACACUUUAUGAUUCCAUGGUUUGAAUGACCAAUCAUUUAUGAUGUCCGUGCUCGACUGAAUCUCGUGGAGAGUACUUCUGGGAGCCUAGACCUUCAGAUGGUAAGUAUAUACAUCACUUUUGUUCGAUUCCACCGGCCUCUCAAUCUUCAUGAUUCAGAGCCUCUUAGUUCUUAUGUAAAUGUUGAUGUUGACUGCUUGAUAUGCAUGCUUUUAUGUCCAUUGGUUAUUGCAUCACAAUGUUCAUCUAAAAUUUGGGCUGAUAAACCUGUUUCUUCCUUGACUUAUUGUUCAUUUGAUCCCUUAAAGCUACCACUGGCUAUUAUGAUUAUUUCAGCACCAAUAGUUUGUCUGCAGUUUUCAUUGAAAUUUUUAUUCAUUCAAAAGUUGGGACCAAUGAACCUGAUAAAUUCAGAACAUGUUAUGGCUUUGAGGAAUAAAUGCAGUUUUUAUAAUUUAUCGUUUAUGUUUAUAUCAUAAUAUGUCAUUUGUACCCUUGUCUAAGUAUAGAAACGGUUGCUUGUCUUAUGUCAACACAAAUCAAAUUUUGUAGGAUUUGUGGUUUUGUAUAAGGACGAUGAAAGAUUUAAGUGUCCAACAUUUGAUCUUUAAACUUUAGUCAACUAUUGUAUUUUUAGACCAAGAAAUCAAACGUAUCCUUACAGAUUAAGAAAUCACCAAUGCAACAACUAUUUUGGAUUCCAAGCAAUUUCGGUGUUGCAAAUGAGGCUAGCAUCUCACCUGAAGUUCUCAAAAUAUAUUUUUUCCUGAUCAUGGGUUGUAUCAUUGUCUGAUUGACAUUUUCAUGAUUACUCUAAGGUAUAUACAUUUUAGUCCACUCUGAUCUGCUCCACCUUCAUCCUUAAUUACAUUCCAAACAUUUAUAAGGCGAACGUUGUUUAUUAGAUUCUUUUUAAAAAAACUGAAAAUAUAGCAGAGUUGUAUGUCCUAUUAAAAAGAGGAUGGUCAUAUUGCAUGAACUGUUAUUGCCUGAACUUUUUAUUUUGAAACGGAGUGGUCUUAUUGCCUGAACCUGAUAUUUUGAGCUCUGAAAUAUGUGAUUGACUGUAGAAUUAUUUCAAGAACAGACUGUAUUGUAGUAACCUUUUUCUCCUGGAGUAUAAUUAUCUGUAUUCGAAUGCUCCUUUUUAUAUGAUGAUGAAUUGUUCUACAGUAUCUUUAUUUGCAAAUGUAGCAACAAUAUACUAAUUUGAUGUACUUUUUUCUAGGGUGUUCUGGACAAUGAAAGCUUGUACCUUAAAACAGGAGGAUACAAGAAGCUGGAGUGGUUGUCUGAAGGCUU
RNA transcript from Zea mays, 2444 nucleotides. RefSeq lists it as uncharacterized. The record is from RefSeq and is a predicted model, not a curated record. Lineage: Eukaryota; Viridiplantae; Streptophyta; Magnoliopsida; Poales; Poaceae. The transcript has 2 exons.